Molecule: long non-coding RNA, 401 nt
Organism: Perca flavescens (yellow perch)
Lineage: Eukaryota; Metazoa; Chordata; Actinopteri; Perciformes; Percidae
Exons: 3
Source: RefSeq, a predicted model, not a curated record
AGUCUUAUAUGUACCUAUGAAUCAACAGUGGUGGUUAACCUGCAACAUGGGCUUUAAUACAUCCAUGGUCAAACUGGAUCUUGUAAACUAACCCUGAAAGUCGGAAGUUGCGUGCCAGCGGGGGCGUGGCGUGAGCAGGGGGUGUGGCGUGAGCAGGGGGCGUGGCGUGAGCGACUGCUGCAAGCUGCAGUUGGAACCUUCUCUCUGCACUUGACUCAGUCACAUCGGGUAGUGACAAGAAUGUAAUAAAAUGACAGAGGAAAGAAAAACAGACAUAAGAUCUUUUUUCAGUAAGCCUACACCAAAACGCCAAGCAAAAGAGACAGAAAGAACUGAGUAACAGGGAGACCAGGGACAGUCAGGUGGAGAGUCUCAGGUAUGUGUGUUGAGCUUAGUUAAUA